CCCUAUUAUUAAAAAUUUAAAUUUUGUUUUAGGUAGUAAAAGAUUUGUUCUGGAAACUUAAAAGAUUUGGCGGUGAUUUAUUUCUAUUUAGAGGAAUAUGUUUUAUAAUUGAUAAUCCACAAUUAUCUUACUUAGUAUAGUAAAUUCAUUUUGUAUAUCUCCGUCAAGAAUAAAUUAAAAAGUUUUAUUUCUAAUUUAAUUUUUUUUAAGAAGAUCAGGUCAAGGUGCAGAUUAUUACUAAGUUAAAAUGUAUUACAUUAAAGUUAUUUUUGGAUUUUUAUUUUAAAUAAUAAUAUGAAAUUGGAUUUAUAUGUAAAAUAAUAGAUUAUUUUUUUUUGAUCUAAUCCUUAAAUCAUGUACACAUCGCCC
RNAcentral lists this ribosomal RNA (369 nucleotides) under Stimulopalpus japonicus. RNAcentral's name for it is "partial 12S ribosomal RNA". Lineage: Eukaryota; Metazoa; Arthropoda; Insecta; Psocodea; Amphientomidae. The record is from RNAcentral.